Molecule: ribosomal RNA, 465 nt
Filed under: uncultured bacterium
Lineage: Bacteria
Description: partial 16S ribosomal RNA
Rfam family: Bacterial small subunit ribosomal RNA
Source: RNAcentral
GACGAACGCUGGCGGCGUGCUUAACACAUGCAAGUCGAACGGAAAGGCCCCUCUGGGGGUACUCGAGUGGCGCACGGGUGAGUAACACGUGAGUAACCUGCCCUUGACUUCGGGAUAACUUCAGGAAACUGGGGCUAAUACCGGAUAGGAAUCCUUGCUGCAUGGUGGGGGUUGGAAAGCUUCGGCGGUUUUGGAUGGACUCGCGGCUUAUCAGCUUGUUGGUGGGGUAGUGGCUUACCAAGGCUUUGACGGGUAGCCGGCCUGAGAGGGCGACCGGCCACAUUGGGACUGAGAUACGGCCCAGACUCCUACGGGAGGCAGCAGUGGGGAAUAUUGCACAAUGGGCGGAAGCCUGAUGCAGCAACGCCGCGGGCGGGAUGACGGCCUUCGGGUUGUAAACCGCUUUCAGCAGGGGCGAAGCUUGUGGUGACGGUACCUGCAGAAGAAGCACCGGCUAACUACGUG